UUGCUAAUGAAAAAAAAAAAAAGGGACUUUGCUACCAGUACUCCACCUCAGUUUGCCAAAGUAUCAAGAUAAAACAGCAUGCAGAAAAGUACACCUUGUUUGUAAGUGUUCCCCAAAGAAAAGUUGUUGAAGGAAUGCAUAAUAAUAACCAUAGCUUCUGGCUAAGAGAAAGCAUGCUUAAAAAUUUGAAAGUUACUGUAUUUGGUUACCUUCCAUUCAGUAGCUUUAGCUAGUUCCCUAAGAAUGUGAUGCUCAAACUAUCUGUAAAUGAGCCAUUUCAUUUUGGAUAUCAAAGGAGCCUCAGAAGAAGUGAAGACAUCUAGAACACAGCAGAGCAUGUAACACAGUCAUUAGAAAGCAUCCCUUGAUCCAUCUAUCUGAAGAGCUAAACAGGGGAUUCAAAAUGAACAUGCUAAAGCUCAAGUGAAGGAAGAGACAAAAACUGGUGUAUUAUGAAGUGUGUGCAUCUGCUCUCUCUACAUUUGGAUUCUCUGCUUGUAUUAAAGAUUUGAAUUUUUAUAUGACUUCUCCAAUGUGUAUGGAAUCAUUC
RNAcentral lists this long non-coding RNA (550 nucleotides) under Homo sapiens (human). Its description in RNAcentral is "HSALNT0066265". Lineage: Eukaryota; Metazoa; Chordata; Mammalia; Primates; Hominidae. The record is from RNAcentral.